CUCUGACAUUUUUGUCACUAGCCUGAGAAAAAAAGUGUUUAUGGCCAGGCUCACACCUGUAAUCCCAGCACUUUGGGAGGCCGAGGUGGGUGGAUUACUAGGAGUUCAAGACCAGACUGGCCAACAUGGAGAAAGCCCAUCUUUACUAAAAAUACAAAAAUUAGCUGGGUGUGAUGGCGCGUACCUGUAAUCCCAGCUACUCGGGAGGCUGAGGCAGGAGAAUCGCUUGAGCCCAGGAGGCUGACAUUGCAGUGAGCCGAGAUCACGCCACUGCACUCCAGCCUGGGGGACAGAGCAAGACUCUGUCUCAAACAAAAAAA
RNAcentral lists this long non-coding RNA (320 nucleotides) under Homo sapiens (human). RNAcentral's name for it is "LHRI_LNC763.1". Lineage: Eukaryota; Metazoa; Chordata; Mammalia; Primates; Hominidae. The record is from RNAcentral.